This 920-nucleotide ribosomal RNA is filed under the name Halomonas nitritophilus. Its description in RNAcentral is "bacterial SSU rRNA". It matches the Rfam family "Bacterial small subunit ribosomal RNA", at positions 66 to 977 of the family's 1533-position model. Lineage: Bacteria; Pseudomonadati; Pseudomonadota; Gammaproteobacteria; Oceanospirillales; Halomonadaceae. The record is from RNAcentral.
GCGGCAGCACGGGAAGCUUGCUUCCUGGUGGCGAGCGGCGGACGGGAGAGUAAUGCAUAGAAAUCUGCCCGGUAGUGGGGGAUAACCUGGGGAAACCCAGGCUAAUACCGCAUACGUCCUACGGGAGAAAGCAGGGGAUCUUCGGACCUUGCGCUAUCGGAUGAGUCUAUGUCGGAUUAGCUUGUUGGUGAGGUAAUGGCUCACCAAGGCGACGAUCCGUAGCUGGUCUGAGAGGAUGAUCAGCCACAUCGGGACUGAGACACGGCCCGAACUCCUACGGGAGGCAGCAGUGGGGAAUAUUGGACAAUGGGCGAAAGCCUGAUCCAGCCAUGCCGCGUGUGUGAAGAAGGCCUUCGGGUUGUAAAGCACUUUCAGUGGGGAAGAAAGCCUUGGGGCUAAUACCCUCGAGGAAGGACAUCACCCACAGAAGAAGCACCGGCUAACUCCGUGCCAGCAGCCGCGGUAAUACGGAGGGUGCGAGCGUUAAUCGGAAUUACUGGGCGUAAAGCGCGCGUAGGCGGUCUGAUAAGCCGGUUGUGAAAGCCCCGGGCUCAACCUGGGAACGGCAUCCGGAACUGUCAGGCUAGAGUGCAGGAGAGGAAGGUAGAAUUCCCGGUGUAGCGGUGAAAUGCGUAGAGAUCGGGAGGAAUACCAGUGGCGAAGGCGGCCUUCUGGACUGACACUGACGCUGAGGUGCGAAAGCGUGGGUAGCAAACAGGAUUAGAUACCCUGGUAGUCCACGCCGUAAACGAUGUCGACUAGCCGUUGGGGUCCUUGAGACCUUUGUGGCGCAGUUAACGCGAUAAGUCGACCGCCUGGGGAGUACGGCCGCAAGGUUAAAACUCAAAUGAAUUGACGGGGGCCCGCACAAGCGGUGGAGCAUGUGGUUUAAUUCGAUGCAACGCGAAGAACCUUACCUA